RNAcentral lists this ribosomal RNA (434 nucleotides) under uncultured bacterium. RNAcentral's name for it is "partial 16S ribosomal RNA". It matches the Rfam family "Bacterial small subunit ribosomal RNA", at positions 29 to 507 of the family's 1533-position model. The record is from RNAcentral.
AGCGAACGCUGGCGGCAGGCCUAACACAUGCAAGUCGAACGAACCCUUCGGGGUUAGUGGCGGACGGGGGUGUAACACGUGGGAACGUGCCUUUAGGUUCGGAAUAACUCAGGGAAACUUGUGCUAAUACCGAAUGUGCCCCUCGGGGGCAAGAUUCGUCGUCUUUAGAACGGCACGCGUCUGAUUAGCUAGUUGGUUGAGGUAAUGGCGCACUAAGGCGACGAUCUGUAGCUGGUCUGAGAGAAAGAUCAGCCACAUUGGGACGAAGACACGGCCCAGACUCCUACGGGAGGCAGCAGUGGGGAAUCUAGCGCAAUGGGGGAAAGCAUGACGCAGUCAGGCUGCGUGAAUGAUGAAGGUCUUAGGAUUGUAAAAUUCUUUAACCGGGGACGGUAAUGACGGUACCCGGAGAAGAAGCCCCGGCUAACUUCGUG